AUUCUCUGUGUUUGUACACACACGUCUUCGAAGAGACAAAAUAUAAUGGGUCUAUUGGUACUUUACAUGAUCAUUAGGAUCUUGCAAAGGAAACCCAAAAACAGAUCCUCAAUGCUCCACGCCCUGGCUUCUCUUCAGGGAUCCUGAGACCCAGGGCGCUGGACUUAACUUGCCAAAAACUCCCCAAGUCGGACUUGGUAUGCACAAGAAAGCACUUCCCUCUUGUUAAAUGACCUCGCCUCAUCAUGGAACCAUAAAAAGAAAGCUUUCAGAUCAUUUGUCUCCAUCACGAAAAUUUAUAAAAAUGAGGUUUUUUUUUUUUUUUUUUUAAAAAGUUAAAUUAUUUUGGCCUGUGAGUUUCAGAUGGGGUUGUGUAUUUCCCUAAAGGGUCAAAAAUAGAACAUUUAUUAAAUGGCAAGUUAUUCAAAAACCAGCACAGGCCCCAGUUGUCUUUCAAAAGCUCUGAUUUACUGGAUAUUUCUCCCUUGAGAGAGGCCUUUUUAAAAUGUUCAUUUCCAUUUUAAGAGACGGAGGGCUUUGAUCUGUUGGGAGCAUUCUUUUUCUUUCCCUGAGUGGGACCUGUCGACUCCUCCAGGCAGAACUGGAGCCUUGCUCUCAGGGUCUGUAUUUUUCCACGGACUUCCCAGGCAUCCAGACAGCAUCUCUCAAAUCGGCAUUCACCCCGGUCAAUCUGGAAGUCAGCAUUGGUGAGUCCCUACCCAGGGGACAUGUGGUCUCAUGUUUUUGUCACACCUAAAUCAGAACCCAGUUUCCAGGACAUAAGGCAAAGAUCUACAAGAACCCUGGAGUUCCUAUUAUUUUGAAACCGAGAA
This 833-nucleotide long non-coding RNA is filed under the name Bos indicus x Bos taurus (hybrid cattle). RNAcentral describes it as "lncRNA (ENSBIXG00000028502.1)". The record is from RNAcentral. Lineage: Eukaryota; Metazoa; Chordata; Mammalia; Artiodactyla; Bovidae.